RNAcentral lists this ribosomal RNA (253 nucleotides) under uncultured bacterium. RNAcentral describes it as "partial 16S ribosomal RNA". It matches the Rfam family "Bacterial small subunit ribosomal RNA", at positions 524 to 776 of the family's 1533-position model. The record is from RNAcentral.
UACGGAGGGUGCGAGCGUUGUCCGGAAUCACUGGGCGUAAAGGGCGCGUAGGUGGCGCAGGAAGUCAACGGUGAAAGCCCUGGGCUCAACCCGGGAAUUGCGCUUGAGACUGGUGUGCUAGAGUACGGGAGAGGAUAGUGGAAUUCCCAGUGUAGAGGUGAAAUUCGUAGAUAUUGGGAAGAACACCGGUGGCGAAGGCGGCUAUCUGGACCGUAACUGACGCUGAGGCGCGAAAGCGUGGGGAGCAAACAGG